CAUUAUUAUUCCCUUCUCUCUCUCUUCUCCUCCACACGCUUCUCUCUCUACCUUUCUCAACAAUUUUCCCUUCUCAUCUCUCUCUCUUGAUUUUCCAGCUUCCUCCACCUUCACCUUCACGUUCAUCUUCUUUAUUUUCACUUUUCAUCGUUCUUUUGUUUUUCUGGCCCCUGCUUCAUUAUUCCUCACCUUGAUCCACAUCCUCAAAACUGAUUCAAUUUCCACAAACAAUUCGAACCAGGGAUUCAUUCUUACCUUUCUCUCUGUUCCAAUUCUUUUAAUUCUCACAAAUUCAGAUAUCCUUCAUUAUGCUUAUCUCAACCAUUCUGAGAUUCUGUUGUUGAUGAAAUCACAAGGUUCUUAA
Vicia faba (fava bean) is the source of this 364-nucleotide non-coding RNA. The record is from the annotation of a GenBank genome assembly. NCBI's taxonomy places the organism in Eukaryota, Viridiplantae, Streptophyta, Magnoliopsida, Fabales, Fabaceae.